RNAcentral lists this ribosomal RNA (270 nucleotides) under unidentified marine bacterioplankton. RNAcentral describes it as "partial 16S ribosomal RNA". It matches the Rfam family "Bacterial small subunit ribosomal RNA", at positions 43 to 339 of the family's 1533-position model. The record is from RNAcentral. RNAcentral also lists the same sequence under 1 other name.
CAGGCUUAACACAUGCAAGUCGAACGCGUGUAGCAAUACACGAGUGGCGCACGGGUGAGUAACGCGUGGAUAUCUGCCUUUUGGUUCGGAAUAACCCCGGGAAACUGGGGCUAAUACCGGAUGGUUCCUUCGGGAUAAAGAUUUAUCGCCAAAAGAUGAGUCCGCGUACGAUUAGCUAGUUGGUGAGGUAAUGGCUCACCAAGGCGACGAUCGUUAGCUGGUCUGAGAGGACGAUCAGCCACACUGGGACUGAGACACGGCCCAGACUCC